UUAAGCGACUAAGCGUACACGGUGGAUGCCCUGGCAGUCAGAGGCGAUGAAGGACGUGCUAAUCUGCGAUAAGCGUCGGUGAGGUGAUAUGAACCGUUAUAACCGGCGAUUUCCGAAUGGGGAAACCCAGUGUGUUUCGACACACUAUCAUUAACUGAAUCCAUAGGUUAAUGAGGCGAACCGGGGGAACUGAAACAUCUAAGUACCCCGAGGAAAAGAAAUCAACCGAGAUUCCCCCAGUAGCGGCGAGCGAACGGGGAGGAGCCCAGAGCCUGAAUCAGUGUGUGUGUUAGUGGAAGCGUCUGGAAAGGCGCGCGAUACAGGGUGACAGCCCCGUACACAAAAAUGCACAUACUGUGAGCUCGAUGAGUAGGGCGGGACACGUGGUAUCCUGUCUGAAUAUGGGGGGACCAUCCUCCAAGGCUAAAUACUCCUGACUGACCGAUAGUGAACCAGUACCGUGAGGGAAAGGCGAAAAGAACCCCGGCGAGGGGAGUGAAAAAGAACCUGAAACCGUGUACGUACAAGCAGUGGGAGCCUCUUAAUGGGGUGACUGCGUACCUUUUGUAUAAUGGGUCAGCGACUUAUAUUCUGUAGCAAGGUUAACCGAAUAGGGGAGCCGAAGGGAAACCGAGUCUUAACUGGGCGUUAAGUUGCAGGGUAUAGACCGAAACCCGGUGAUCUAGCCAUGGGCAGGUUGAAGGUUGGGUAACACUAACUGGAGGACCGAACCGACUAAUGUUGAAAAAUUAGCGGAUGACUUGUGGCUGGGGGUGAAAGGCCAAUCAAACCGGGAGAUAGCUGGUUCUCCCCGAAAGCUAUUUAGGUAGCGCCUCGUGAAUUCAUCUCCGGGGGUAGAGCACUGUUUCGGCAAGGGGGUCAUCCCGACUUACCAACCCGAUGCAAACUGCGAAUACCGGAGAAUGCUAUCACGGGAGACACACGGCGGGUGCUAACGUCCGUCGUGAAGAGGGAAACAACCCAGACCGCCAGCUAAGGUCCCAAAGUCAUGGUUAAGUGGGAAACGAUGUGGGAAGGCCCAGACAGCCAGGAUGUUGGCUUAGAAGCAGCCAUCAUUUAAAGAAAGCGUAAUAGCUCACUGGUCGAGUCGGCCUGCGCGGAAGAUGUAACGGGGCUAAACCAUGCACCGAAGCUGCGGCAGCGACACUAUGUGUUGUUGGGUAGGGGAGCGUUCUGUAAGCCUGUGAAGGUGGCCUGUGAGGGUUGCUGGAGGUAUCAGAAGUGCGAAUGCUGACAUAAGUAACGAUAAAGCGGGUGAAAAGCCCGCUCGCCGGAAGACCAAGGGUUCCUGUCCAACGUUAAUCGGGGCAGGGUGAGUCGACCCCUAAGGCGAGGCCGAAAGGCGUAGUCGAUGGGAAACAGGUUAAUAUUCCUGUACUUGGUGUUACUGCGAAGGGGGGACGGAGAAGGCUAUGUUGGCCGGGCGACGGUUGUCCCGGUUUAAGCGUGUAGGCUGGUUUUCCAGGCAAAUCCGGAAAAUCAAGGCUGAGGCGUGAUGACGAGGCACUACGGUGCUGAAGCGACAAAUGCCCUGCUUCCAGGAAAAGCCUCUAAGCAUCAGGUAACAUCAAAUCGUACCCCAAACCGACACAGGUGGUCAGGUAGAGAAUACCAAGGCGCUUGAGAGAACUCGGGUGAAGGAACUAGGCAAAAUGGUGCCGUAACUUCGGGAGAGGGCACGCUGAUAUGUAGGUGAAGCGACUUGCUCGUGGAGCUGAAAUCAGUCGAAGAUACCAGCUGGCUGCAACUGUUUAUUAAAAACACAGCACUGUGCAAACACGAAAGUGGACGUAUACGGUGUGACGCCUGCCCGGUGCCGGAAGGUUAAUUGAUGGGGUUAGCGGUAACGCGAAGCUCUUGAUCGAAGCCCCGGUAAACGGCGGCCGUAACUAUAACGGUCCUAAGGUAGCGAAAUUCCUUGUCGGGUAAGUUCCGACCUGCACGAAUGGCGUAAUGAUGGCCAGGCUGUCUCCACCCGAGACUCAGUGAAAUUGAACUCGCUGUGAAGAUGCAGUGUACCCGCGGCAAGACGGAAAGACCCCGUGAACCUUUACUAUAGCUUGACACUGAACAUUGAGCCUUGAUGUGUAGGAUAGGUGGGAGGCUUUGAAGUGUGGACGCCAGUCUGCAUGGAGCCGCCUUGAAAUACCACCCUUUAAUGUUUGAUGUUCUAACGUUGGCCCGUAAUCCGGGUUGCGGACAGUGUCUGGUGGGUAGUUUGACUGGGGCGGUCUCCUCCUAAAGAGUAACGGAGGAGCACGAAGGUUGGCUAAUCCUGGUCGGACAUCAGGAGGUUAGUGCAAUGGCAUAAGCCAGCUUGACUGCGAGCGUGACGGCGCGAGCAGGUGCGAAAGCAGGUCAUAGUGAUCCGGUGGUUCUGAAUGGAAGGGCCAUCGCUCAACGGAUAAAAGGUACUCCGGGGAUAACAGGCUGAUACCGCCCAAGAGUUCAUAUCGACGGCGGUGUUUGGCACCUCGAUGUCGGCUCAUCACAUCCUGGGGCUGAAGUAGGUCCCAAGGGUAUGGCUGUUCGCCAUUUAAAGUGGUACGCGAGCUGGGUUUAGAACGUCGUGAGACAGUUCGGUCCCUAUCUGCCGUGGGCGCUGGAGAACUGAGGGGGGCUGCUCCUAGUACGAGAGGACCGGAGUGGACGCAUCACUGGUGUUCGGGUUGUCAUGCCAAUGGCACUGCCCGGUAGCUAAAUGCGGAAGAGAUAAGUGCUGAAAGCAUCUAAGCACGAAACUUGCCCCGAGAUGAGUUCUCCCUGACCCUUUAAGGGUCCUGAAGGAACGUUGAAGACGACGACGUUGAUAGGCCGGGUGUGUAAGCGCAGCGAUGCGUUGAGCUAACCGGUACUAAUGAACCGUGAGGCUUAACCUU
This 2900-nucleotide ribosomal RNA is filed under the name Escherichia coli DEC2B. RNAcentral describes it as "bacterial LSU rRNA". It matches the Rfam family "Bacterial large subunit ribosomal RNA". The record is from RNAcentral. Lineage: Bacteria; Pseudomonadati; Pseudomonadota; Gammaproteobacteria; Enterobacterales; Enterobacteriaceae.